Molecule: long non-coding RNA, 2024 nt
Organism: Ruditapes philippinarum (Manila clam)
Lineage: Eukaryota; Metazoa; Mollusca; Bivalvia; Venerida; Veneridae
Exons: 3
Source: RefSeq, a predicted model, not a curated record
ACGGUAGGGAAUCACGUGACUUUUACGGUUACGCGUACAGACAAUAUGGCGGCCUAAAAACCUCGCUUCACAUGUGUUUUUAAGGUAAUUCUUUAUUAUAUCCCUUUUACUUACAUACGAGACCUGUUGCAGCCUACGCAGAAUAAAGAAUUGUUGCCGCCUAUACCUUAGUUUCCACUCCUGUGCUCAUAGAUUUUACAAACACUCAAAAAUUCAACAGAAAUUUUCAAUGUGAACAAUUAUAUUUCGGGUAACAUUCACGCAAAAUUUGUAUUUUUUAUGAAUUUGAUUAAACUACGUCGAGUUAGCAAUGAGAAAAUGUUCAUAGAAUUUCUUUAUUUGAAAAUGUAAAUAUUAGGCAUGUUAAAUGUUGACUGGUCAUUUUCUAUUCCAAAACAUGAGAGAAAAAUGAUUUGGGUAACUCCCACGCAUACUUUUAUUGUUGAUAACUCCCACGCAAUAUUUUAUGGGCAGGCAAUAUCUAUGCAGGUUAUAGCCUAGAUAUUGAUUGAACAAAAUCAUGAUUGAUGCAUUUAGCCUUAAACGUUCAAAGAAUUUUGAAUAAUAUUAAAAAUACCGCCAAAAGGUCCUGGAUAGAAUAAAGCCCCCAUGGAUAGCAGAAUACAUACUCACGUGAAUAUAUUAAAUGAAGUUUCGAUAUAGAUGAAUUAACCGCAGAAAUUAAAAUAAAAGUCUCAAAUAUAAGAAGGAGGUCGAUUUCAGUAUAAGCACAAUAACAGUUGUCAUUUUUCAUAGUUUGCAGAUAUGGGCGGUUCCAGUUCGGGUAUUGUUUGUGGAUAAUGUUGGGCAACAUUUGUCUUAAUGACCACAUAAACUGGCUACUCGGCACAGGACUUUGUAAAUGUUGUGACAAAUCGAAACGUGACAGAUCCUGGUCCUGGCUGAAAUUUAAAGUAUUACAGCUGUAGCUUCUAUACCAUAAAUUUAACAUGGAAAGGACUGUUCUUGGGAAAAUGCUGACGUAACUGAUGGGAGCAGUUUUUCUUACCAAUCAUAGAAGCAGUAGAAGUAUUCAAACACCAUCAUGACACACGUUAGACAUACCAAGAGAGCUCUAGAAGAAGAACUAGUGGUAGAUUGGAACAGAUUGUAGCUUAAUUGUUAAACUAAAAGGACUUCUUAAAUCGUUUGAAUUUUAGCUACACUUGAACUGUAGUUUUGAAAUAAAAUAGCUGAAGUAUUUAAUAGUGUCUUGGUUUUUUUUGUUAAACUCUGUUACGUACAGUACUUUGCUUUAUAUUUAUAUUAAAGUAUGUUGAAAUGACAUUGAAACUUCAACGUUAUGCCAACGUUGAACUUCCACGUUUUUUAAACUUUCAAAUUCGAACAUAAAUCUAACGUUAUUUCAACGUUGAAAUCUGAUCAUACUUCAACGUUGUUCACCGUUGAUGUGCCUGCUGGGUUACUUCUAUCAAGGAACUAUUUGCGGUAUUUUUAAUAUUAUUCAAAAUUCUAUGAAAGUUUGAUGCUAAAUGCAUCAAUCAUAAUUUUUUUCAAUCAAUAUCUAGGCUAUAACCUGCAUAGAUAUUGCCUGCACAUAAAAUAUUGCGUGGGAGUUAUCAACAAUAAAAGUAUGCGUGGGAGUUACCAAAAUCAUUUUUCUCUCGUGUAAUGGAAUAGAAAAUGACCUGUCAACAUUUAACAUGCCUAAUAUUUACAUUUUCAAAUAAAGAAAUUCUAUGAACAUUUUCUCUUUGCUAACUCGACGUAGUUUAAUCAAAUUCAUAAAAAAUACAAAUUUUGCGUGAAUGUUACCCGAAAUAUAAUUGUUUACAUUGAAAAUUUCUGUUGAAUUUUUGAGUGUUUGUAAAAGCUAUGAGCACAGGGGUGGAAAAUAAGGUAUAGGCGGCAACAAUUCUUUAUUCUGCGUAGGCUGCAACAGGUCUCGUAUGUAAGUAAAAGGGAUAUAAUAAAGAAUUACCUGAAAAACACAUGUGAAGCGAGGUUUUUAGGCCGCCAUAUUGUCUGUACGCGUAACCGUAAAAGUCACGUGAUUCCCUACC